Molecule: ribosomal RNA, 188 nt
Filed under: Klebsiella pneumoniae
Lineage: Bacteria; Pseudomonadati; Pseudomonadota; Gammaproteobacteria; Enterobacterales; Enterobacteriaceae
Description: partial 23S ribosomal RNA
Rfam family: Bacterial large subunit ribosomal RNA
Source: RNAcentral
GGGUUGUGAGGUUAAGCGACUAAGCGUACACGGUGGAUGCCCUGGCAGUCAGAGGCGAUGAAGGACGUGCUAAUCUGCGAAAAGCGUCGGUAAGGUGAUAUGAACCGUUAUAACCGGCGAUGUCCGAAUGGGGAAACCCAGUGUGAUUCGUUGCACUAUCGUUAACUGAAUACAUAGGUUAACGAGGC